ACUGGGCAUGGUGGCACAUGCCUGUAAACCUAGCAGCUCCGGAGGCUGAGGCAGGAGGAUCUUGAGUUCAAAGCCAGCCUUACAAAAAGUGAGGCGCUAAGCAACUCAGUGAGAUCCUGUCUCUA
Molecule: small RNA, 125 nt
Filed under: Marmota monax (woodchuck)
Lineage: Eukaryota; Metazoa; Chordata; Mammalia; Rodentia; Sciuridae
Source: RNAcentral